UACGAAGGGGGCUAGCGUUGUUCGGAAUCACUGGGCGUAAAGGGCGCGUAGGCGGCUUUGUAAGUCGGGGGUGAAAGCCUGUGGCUCAACCACAGAAUUGCCUUCGAUACUGCGAGGCUUGAGAUCGGAAGAGGUUAGUGGAACUGCGAGUGUAGAGGUGAAAUUCGUAGAUAUUCGCAAGAACACCAGUGGCGAAGGCGGCUGACUGGUCCGGAUCUGACGCUGAGGCGCGAAAGCGUGGGGAGCAAACAGG
This 253-nucleotide ribosomal RNA is filed under the name uncultured bacterium. Its description in RNAcentral is "partial 16S ribosomal RNA". It matches the Rfam family "Bacterial small subunit ribosomal RNA", at positions 524 to 776 of the family's 1533-position model. The record is from RNAcentral.